This 302-nucleotide long non-coding RNA is filed under the name Trifolium pratense (red clover). Its description in RNAcentral is "long non-coding RNA (TPRA_LNC000105)". Lineage: Eukaryota; Viridiplantae; Streptophyta; Magnoliopsida; Fabales; Fabaceae. The record is from RNAcentral.
UAGUGCAUUAUGAAGAGAGAGGCUUUUCUACUAGAUAAGAAUUGCUUUGUCUUAUGAAAUGAAAUUUUCUAACAUAUACAUAACGAUGUGAGAGGUGUGGGGGAGCACUGAGCACAUCAUGGAGGACGAAUAAGUUAAUAAUUACUUAAUUAGGACUAUAAAAAGAUCCUUCCCAUUCUUCUUUUAAUUUUUGAAAAUUCGGUAUUCGGUUUAAAGAUCAACUAAUCUGAUCAGGAGUCCAAUCUUAUUGUUUACUUGUAGCGGGGCUAUUUAAAGUCAAAAUAUUUUUAUCCCUUUCUUUU